Molecule: unclassified non-coding RNA, 1529 nt
Filed under: Hevea brasiliensis (rubber tree)
Lineage: Eukaryota; Viridiplantae; Streptophyta; Magnoliopsida; Malpighiales; Euphorbiaceae
Source: RNAcentral
UUUUUUCUUUUUUCUUUUUUCACAUUACAUUGCAGCUUGAAGUGUUUUCAUCGCUGAAAAAGUGGGUGUAAUUGUCGCCGGCCGGUUGCGGUGGAGGAUACGGAUACGGGUACGGCGGCAGGUAGUUCACGGCGGGUGGUGGCCGCGCGUACAUCAUUGCUUGGUUUGCCAUGGCGGCGCGUUGGUGGUUCAUUGCUGCCAUGUAUUGUUGUUGCUGUUGGUAUGGGUUGCCGGGCAUUGCCUCCGCUGGUGCGGGAGCUCCUUGAAAAUAUGCGCUGCCGGGUCCGCCGCCGUUCAUGGCGGCCGCCGGGAGGCCUUGGACGGCCGGAAUGGAUCCCAUUUGACUCAUUUGCAUGUUCCCCAUUUGUGCCAUUGGCAUGUUCAUGUUCAUUGGCCGGCCGCCGCCCGCGCCGCCGCCCGCCAUUGCUCCUGCCGGCAACCCGUGAGGACCACCCAUGCUCGGAAAACCAUGGGGACCACCACCGUUCAUAACGUGAGCCAUUUCACCACCGGCCUUUUUUCCGCCAUUGCCAUUAUUAAUAGGACCACCGCCGCCGCUAUUGCCGCCGUUCUUUUGAGCCCCACCAUUAUUAUUACCGUUCUUAGCUUCACCGUUUUUGCCGCCAUUUUUGCCAGCACCACCGCCGCCGCCUAGACUGGGAUUCCCACCGCCGCCGGCACCGCCUUUCUUCCCCCCAUUUCCGCCUUUACCGUCGUUUCCACCGCCCAUUCCAUUCAUUGGCAUUGGCAUUGGCAUAGCUCCGCCACCUCCACCGCCACCGCCUUUCUUAUCACCACCAUUAGCAGCAGCCUUCUGAGCAUUAAUUAGUUGUUGCAUAUUCAUAUUCCCAUUCAUCAUCAUCGCCAUGUUCGGCAUCUGACCUCCACCGCCUCCGCCUCCGGCAACGGUGCCAGCGCCGGCACCACCCAUCAACGGCUUCAUUUUAUUCGGAGGAAGAGGAAUAUCAUCCAAAUCAUCUUCAAGAUCAUCAUCAUCAAACUCGUCAUCAUCAUAAUCAUCAUCAUCCAAAUCAUCAUCGGUCAGAUCACCAUCCUCCGGCAAAUCGAACUUCACCGCCUUCUGAUUCACGGGAAUCGGAUCUUUAAACGGCGGCAUUUUCAUACCCUUCAACUGUGGUGGCAACAUCUUCGGAUCUUGAAACGGAAACCCAUUCAUCUGCUGCUGCAAUUGCUGCAGCUGUUGAAGCUGCUGCGGCAGAAUCUGCGGUGGCCCACCACCACCACCUCCUCCGCCGCCACCCCCACCUCCCGAUUUCGGCUGAUUGUUCCCACCCUUUGGAGGCCCCUGUUUAUUAUUACCCCCACCUUUUCCAUUGUCAAUCUGCAAAUUCUUCAUCUGAUUCGCAAGAUGGUUCUGUUGGCCGCCAUUGUUAUUGUUUGGAUUUACCUUCGGAGCUCCCCAAAGCUCUGCAUAUUUCCCUGAUUUCGAGAGCUUUUUAAUCAGAGUAGCAGCGUCUACAUUUCCAGAAACUGUUACCUUCCCUAGCUCUGCAUCUAUCUCCGUAGUG